Molecule: ribosomal RNA, 254 nt
Filed under: uncultured bacterium
Lineage: Bacteria
Description: partial 16S ribosomal RNA
Rfam family: Bacterial small subunit ribosomal RNA
Source: RNAcentral
GACGUAGGGCGCGAGCGUUGUCCGGAUUUAUUGGGCGUAAAGAGCUCGUAGGCGGCUUGUCGCGUCGUUCGUGAAAACCUGCAGCUCAACUGCAGGCUUGCGGUCGAUACGGGCAGGCUAGAGUUCGGUAGGGGCAGAUGGAAUUCCCGGUGUAGCGGUGGAAUGCGUAGAGAUCGGGAAGAAUACCAGUGGCGAAGGCGUUCUGCUGGGCCGUUGCUGACACUGAGGCGCGACAGCGUGGGGGAGCAAACAGG